RNAcentral lists this transfer RNA (82 nucleotides) under Labilithrix sp. RNAcentral's name for it is "tRNA-Phe". Lineage: Bacteria; Pseudomonadati; Myxococcota; Polyangiales; Labilitrichaceae. The record is from RNAcentral.
GCGAGAUCCGCUUGCUGGUUGCCAGUCGCGCGACUGAAACUCGUGCACGUGUUUGACGCAGGUUCGAAUCCUGUCGCCCGCA